AGUACCACCAAAUGCACUGGCUCCUCGCGGUCAGGGGACAAUUCUAGGCUGGAUGCAGAUGCUUCCUUAGGAACAGACAACUGGGAGGCAGAACAGACCCGAACAACUGUAACAUUUUCAUAGAUGGGAUUGACUUCCACACAGAGAAGAAAGAGCAGAGGAGCUGAGAACAUAGAACCUUCACAAAGAAAAACCGUUCACCAUCAGAUAAAAUCUUCUCCCCAUUUCGGUUUCCUCCAUCGGCAGAGGUGUUCCAUUGAUAACCCCCAAACUGUUGGAUGCUGCAAUGACACGAAGUAAGAUUAAUACGACAACAAAGAAGGACACUGAGAUCUGGACUUCCUUUUACCUUUCCCCCACCCCCGCCCGUGCUUCCCUUCCUUCCAAACCCCCUGAACUCUCCCCGGCGCGCUGGCUUAGAGCAGAGACUCUCCGGCACCGAGAGCCCCGAUCCCAGGCUGUGGAUGAGCAGCCAACUCGAUUCAGGGACAACUCAAAACUAGGGCCAUGUCUCCGUCACGUCUGGGAUUGUUACGGUUACUGAGCCAGUGCAAAUAUCCAGGCUCACUAGAUCUUGACGGAGUCGAGAAAGAGAUGGCCGGAAAGAGCUGAAAUGAACUUGCACGGCCCGUUAUGAAAAACACAAAGAAUAAAACUCACAGCUUUGCCGCGGGAAGAGUGGCUCAGCGCCCCAUAAACAGCUGCACCAGGAUCAGACACCCACACCUGGGGACAAGGAAACAAAGACGAAUCUCUCCCCUGAGAGGGAUCGGGAUUUGCAGGACACGUGUGAUCCACAGAUGGAAGAGAAGGUUCAGUCGUCAGCGGGACGUGAACGCUAAGGCAGCGACUUUGCAGAAGGGACCUGAGAAUGUGUAAACCAACGUUUGGGAACUGAGGAGCUCGAUGCAUGCCUGAGAUCAGAAAGCAGAGCCUCCAGAUUCUGAAGGAGUCGAGUCCCGGACCCAGGGGGACAGAUGUCACACGUGCUCUUCCUGCUACAGAUUUUCUAACUGUUCUGUUUGCCAGGCUUGCCUUUAAAGAGCUCAAAUUUGUACCGAGCAGCUGGGGAUUCAGACUCUGUUACUCAGCCAGUGGACAAACUUCUUUUCAAACCCACACACAGAAGAUACAAGGUCUGGACACACGCAUCCCACAGACUGGGAAUGAUGGACACACAGGUCCUGGGACAGCGACACCAGGACUGUCCUCCCCGGGUCCCAUCGCCAGACCCCCAUCCUCUGUGCAGCCCCCCAGGCCCCCUGCCGUGCGGAAUCCUGCACAUCAAGGACAGAUAUGAAAAAAAUCCCCACCGCCCGCCGCGGUGCUCAGUCCGGCUAGGGCGCUGAGGCAUAACCGAGUGAAAGAGAAACCAACAGAAUGCAAGAAAGUCACAGACGCCGACUGAGAUGUGCGCAUAGUAAGAAAUUCCGAGGCAAAGUUGUGGCUUCUGGUUGGAAUGAGAGGGAAGAUGGUUAAGGAAGGCCUAGGGCUUCCGAGAGAACUUGCAGGGCCAUGGGCAGAUGCCUGACAUCAUCCUUUUCUGCAGAUUCGAAAGGCACUCCAUGUCCUGGCCGCACCCCAGUGCCCGACAGAAAUAGAAUGAGAAGUGAAAUCCAGCUGGCAGGAUCUCAGGCUUGGAACAGAAGCAGCACAAAAAGGAUUUCCAGCUAUGUGGUCAGAACCAUACCACGAAGGAUGGCUACCGGAAACCUGCCCCAGGAUUGCUCGGUCAUUUAAAAACAAACCAUCAGCCACAGAGUCUAGAUGGGCCGUUUCCACCUGCGUACCCUGCAGAGACCCAUGAUGCUCCUCACAGCCCAUCACACACUCCUGGGUCACUGCCUGUUUACUGGACGCACUCCAAAGCUUGUCAUUAUGUCUCCAGCAUCUUGCCCAGUGCUUGGCAAAUAUUUGUCCCAAACAAUUUUUUCUGAAUUAAAAAAAGCAAGACUAGAUUUUUGUUGGGAUUUAUCAGACUCGGAGAUGCCAUCCACUGAGGAAAUAUGUUCGCGCAAGCCCCAGAGAGCCCCUCCCCAAUGACAAGUCUCUGCUGGAAGUCUUCCCA
Molecule: long non-coding RNA, 2068 nt
Organism: Zalophus californianus (California sea lion)
Lineage: Eukaryota; Metazoa; Chordata; Mammalia; Carnivora; Otariidae
Exons: 3
Source: RefSeq, a predicted model, not a curated record